This 575-nucleotide ribosomal RNA is filed under the name Trichoderma longipile. Its description in RNAcentral is "eukaryotic LSU rRNA". The stretch from base 186 to 339 matches the Rfam family "5.8S ribosomal RNA". Lineage: Eukaryota; Fungi; Ascomycota; Sordariomycetes; Hypocreales; Hypocreaceae. The record is from RNAcentral.
CUCCAACCCAUGUGAACGUUACCAAACUGUUGCCUCGGCGGGAUCUCUGCCCCGGGUGCGUCGCAGCCCCGGACCAAGGCGCCCGCCGGAGGACCAACCAAAACUCUUUAUGUAUACCCCCUCGCGGGUUUUUUACAAUCUGAGCCAUCUCGGCGCCCCUCGUGGGCGUUUCGAAAAUGAAUCAAAACUUUCAACAACGGAUCUCUUGGUUCUGGCAUCGAUGAAGAACGCAGCGAAAUGCGAUAAGUAAUGUGAAUUGCAGAAUUCAGUGAAUCAUCGAAUCUUUGAACGCACAUUGCGCCCGCCAGUAUUCUGGCGGGCAUGCCUGUCCGAGCGUCAUUUCAACCCUCGAACCCCUCCGGGGGGUCGGCGUUGGGGAUCGGCCCUUUACGGGGCCGGCCCCGAAAUACAGUGGCGGUCUCGCCGCAGCCUCUCCUGCGCAGUAGUUUGCACACUCGCAUCGGGAGCGCGGCGCGUCCAUUGCCGUAAAACACCCAACUUUCUGAAAUGUUGACCUCGGAUCAGGUAGGAAUACCCGCUGAACUUAAGCAUAUCAAUAAGCGGAGGAAAAGAAA